This 486-nucleotide ribosomal RNA is filed under the name uncultured bacterium. RNAcentral's name for it is "bacterial SSU rRNA". It matches the Rfam family "Bacterial small subunit ribosomal RNA", at positions 30 to 526 of the family's 1533-position model. The record is from RNAcentral.
AUUGAACGCUGGCGGCAGGCCUAACACAUGCAAGUCGAACGGUAACAGGAAGCAGCUUGCUGCUUUGCUGACGAGUGGCGGACGGGUGAGUAAUGUCUGGGAAACUGCCUGAUGGAGGGGGAUAACUACUGGAAACGGUAGCUAAUACCGCAUAACGUCGCAAGACCAAAGAGGGGGACCUUCGGGCCUCUUGCCAUCGGAUGUGCCCAGAUGGGAUUAGCUAGUAGGUGGGGUAAAGGCUCACCUAGGCGACGAUCCCUAGCUGGUCUGAGAGGAUGACCAGCCACACUGGAACUGAGACACGGUCCAGACUCCUACGGGAGGCAGCAGUGGGGAAUAUUGCACAAUGGGCGCAAGCCUGAUGCAGCCAUGCCGCGUGUAUGAAGAAGGCCUUCGGGUUGUAAAGUACUUUCGUCGAGUGCGCGAUCAUGACAGGACUCGAGGAAGAAGCCCCGGCUAACUCCGUGCCAGCCGCCGCCGUAACAC